This 427-nucleotide ribosomal RNA is filed under the name uncultured organism. RNAcentral describes it as "bacterial SSU rRNA". It matches the Rfam family "Bacterial small subunit ribosomal RNA", at positions 8 to 461 of the family's 1533-position model. The record is from RNAcentral.
AGAGUUUGAUCAUGGCUCAGAGCGAACGCUGGCGGCAGGCUUAACACAUGCAAGUCGAGCGGGCGUAGCAAUACGUCAGCGGCAGACGGGUGAGUAACGCGUGGGAACGUACCUUUUGGUUCGGAACAACACAGGGAAACUUGUGCUAAUACCGGAUAAGCCCUUACGGGGAAAGAUUUAUCGCCGAAAGAUCGGCCCGCGUCUGAUUAGCUAGUUGGUAGGGUAAUGGCCUACCAAGGCGACGAUCAGUAGCUGGUCUGAGAGGAUGAUCAGCCACAUUGGGACUGAGACACGGCCCAAACUCCUACGGGAGGCAGCAGUGGGGAAUAUUGGACAAUGGGGGCAACCCUGAUCCAGCCAUGCCGCGUGAGUGAUGAAGGCCCUAGGGUUGUAAAGCUCUUUUGUGCGGGAAGAUAAUGACGGACCG